This is a long non-coding RNA of Papaver somniferum (opium poppy), 3749 nucleotides long. RefSeq lists it as uncharacterized. Lineage: Eukaryota; Viridiplantae; Streptophyta; Magnoliopsida; Ranunculales; Papaveraceae. The record is from RefSeq and is a predicted model, not a curated record. The transcript is spliced from 11 exons.
UCUCAUCUCUUUCCAUCUAUCUGCGAUUCCUUUCAUAUCUUUAAAAGAAACCCUAAACCUUGAUUUAAUAGGUGAUGAGAGGCUAAUUCAAACAAUGGGUGUCUCAUCUAUUUAGAAUCACAGGGAUGCAGAUCAUACAAAAUGGACAGCAUAGUUCCAUAGGAAACAGUACUUCAUAAAGCUAGGGGAAAAACUGUUCGAGCGUAGAUGCCCGUCCAUUAGAUGCUGGCAAAGAGAUGUAAGGCUUGGGGAUUCAGUAUAUGCAUCUGCGAACAACAGUUGAACCUGUUGACAUGGCCGGAAGUUUUUUGCCUGUUUGCUUUUUCCGCCGUGCUUGGACCACUACUGAAGAAAUCUUAAACAGUUUUUUUUUUUUUUGUGAUGACAACGAGGAAUUGCUCCACAACAGCUGAUCUGAAGUUGCUAGAGCAUCAACACCACCAAAACUGAAGUUUGGGGGUUUGAGUUGCUUAAUAAGAUAUCUUUGAUUGUUACUGGAGUUUCAAGCUCGAAUGGUCUACAACUAUGAAACAAAUGCAACCGUAUGUAUAGGAGUUUGGGCUAAUGCAGCAUUUGCUAUUCUCCAUGCAAUUUUUUGAGUUGGAAAAGAACCAUUUGGUCUAUGGAGUUGUUGGAUCCUCUUGCAAUGAAAUUAAUAACUGAUAUGCAAUGGGUUAAUAUUUUACUCCUUGAUGUAUAGUCUCCACAAAACUUAGAACGUGUUUUCUGUAGUCAUGUCAUGUCAUACCAGGUAAGGUGUUUAGUUAUUAUAAAUCAUCUUAAGAAGGAAGAUAAUUAUGAAUGACACAUUAUUCUACAACCACCACUAUGCUGAUUCCUAUGUAAUUAAUAAGCACAUUAAACUGGCUUUGAUUCCCUGAUGCAAGCAAGAAAAAACUGUUAAUGGUGUGUUGUGUGUUAAAAUGAGUUUAUAUAUAAUUAAUGAAUUUCUGCAGGUUCCUUCUCAUGACUAUGUGUAUGCUAUAUGGUGCUGCAUUCGGACCUCUAUCACCUUUAGCCGAAGCUUUUUCGAAUGAUUGAGAAACAGCUGAUGUGGUUGUAGCUUGGGCAAUUUAAGCAGAAAACUUCGAUACAUUUCAAGUUUGGAAAGGCUGAUAUUUAUCCUACAAAUAGUUCUCAGUUUUUACGCAUGGUGGAAAUUAUUCGAGGAGGCUGUAAAUUCUAAAGAAUGCGAAUGAAAACUUGGUAAGCCUGAAUGCAGCAAGGAUGGGGUUGCAGCAAGUAAAGGUAUUAUUUUUUCUUACCAUUUUAUUUGGGUAAUGAUCAUGGGCCAUGGCUGAAUCUCUAUAAACUAAAUUGUAUAUGUGGAUCCUUGGAAACAGUGUCAACAUUAGUGGACUUUGGCUAGAUUCUUUAGAUAGUCUGAUGUUUUUAUUUUCUGAUUACGAUGUGGGUCCUACCUGCUGUAGAUCCCUCUUUCAGGAAGAAGAAAAGAAAUCUUAACAAUGAUCCAUCAAGUAAAUGCUUCUAUAAAGUGAAGUUUAUCAGAAUUUUACCUUACUGUUGUUAAUAAUUUCAAUAAAAAUACAAUAUAUGUACGGUGAACAAAUUUAUAGGAACUAUGAGAAACAAUGCACACACGUAAAUAAACUUAUAUGCUCAGGUAGCAUUCAUAGAAGGAAAGACCACACUGCACUAAACUGUCUACAAAGACAGUUGUAGAACUUCAGUUGUGCAAGUUAGCGGUGGAAUUGAUCAUUUUUAUUAUUAUGCACACAAAACUUGGUGUAUGCCUUUCGCUUUUUAAGAUUAUUUAUCUAUCUGCAUUAAUGGACAAUAUUUACACCAUUUAGUUCGGUUAGUUAUCUUCUUUUCAUUCUCAUUUAAGAUACUAAUGAUGGGCACCACAGAGAGAGUUGUUACUAUGCUAAUAUAUUUUUAGAAAGGUAUGAUUUUAGAAGCACAAUAUGUUCUUAUAACCAUGCUAAGGGUUUUAUGAUCUAUAGCCAGGGAAAAAAACUGUUUUAAGUGUAGCAGCACAUCCAUCAGAUGCCUUUUUUUUAAUCGUCAGAUGCCAUUAAUGUGGCAAAAAUAUGCUAGAUAAUGUGAUUUAGUUGUUGGUGCUUGCAGGUGGUAGUGGAUAUGUGGUAGUUUUGGUGUUUGGUAAUGGUGUUUUGGACUCUUUUAUUAUUAAUUAAAUUGUUUACACCUGAUUCAUGUACAUUAACAGAGAAGUAGAUUAGGUUCAUGAUGAGAUUAUAAUUUGGAAUUAGUUUCAGUUUAAUAGAAACUGUAUGCUCUCUGAUUGGCUAUAUAGUAGUACAUCAACAAAUAACAUGAAGGGACUUAAAGAAUCAGAUCUCUGUUCAGAUUCCUUAUAUAUGGCCACAAGUACCAGAUUAUUUCCGAAUCAUUCUUUUUUUAAGAAAGGCCUGCAUGGCACGAAAUGUUUUAUUAUGUAAUUUUGCUUCUUUGAUUUAUGACAUGAUACAAUAUAUGAUGCAUUUGCCAACAACUGCUGAACCCAUCGUCAUGUCUUAGAUUUCGCCUGUUUGUUUUGUCUGCUGGGUUUGGAUUACAAUUGAAGAAAUCUAGAACUAUCUUUUUUGUGAUGACAAUGAGGUCAGUUGCAAAGCAUCUGAUCAGGGGCCAAUCUCAAGCACGUGGAAAUAGAUUUCCCCCAAGAUAUUUAAGUGUCUACUCAUUAGUGAGUGAGCUACACAGCUUUUGCUAAGAUGAUGAGCCUUAUUUGGAUAAGACAGGGUCCAGAUUGUUAACGUUUGCUUGACUACAAGCGCUUUCAAGGAGGUUGAAUCAACUUUCAGGAGUUCCACAAUGUGCUUUGUAAAUGGUGGAAGAAUGUCUAUUCGGGACUUUGUUUCUGAAGAUGACUGCUUACAUUUUAAUAAGUAAGCUGAAGGUCAAGGAUGAGUGCUAAAUCCUACCGACUUGAUUCGGGGUUCAUUUCGGCCACUCAUGGUUUAGCUGGAAAAGUGAUGCAAGUAUAACAAGCAUCAGGGGUACUUUGAAGUAUAUUAUUACAGUUCAUCCAGAUUUGUAAGCUGCUGGGAAUUUGAAUUUAUGCUCUUGACGAAGUUAGUUCCGGUACAUUGUUCAUGGACUACUUUAAGGGAGAUGGUGUAGAAAGCUUUGGGUGGAUGAAUAAAAAAGAGAACUUCCAAGAUGUUCCGAGCUAGAAAUCUAGAAUAUAUUUGUUAUAGGAGUUUGCAAAAUAGGGAGGACUUAAUAUGCAAUGACUAAGAUUAAAUUUAUCAGAGAGUAGAUUGCUUAUUGAUGAAAUAACACUCAUUCCAUUGAUUCUUGGGUACUGCAUGAUAUGGGAUUUAGAGAAGGGCUUCUGGUUCCAAAAAAAAAUAUGAUUGCUUAGUCCUUUAAGCUAGAUGUUACUACAUUGACAUUCUUAUUUACGGAGUGCGCCAAGAGCAGAUGUAAAUAUGACUGUUAGGAGGAGGCCAAACUGAAACUCAACGUGUUCUGAGAACUGCAUGUCAUGGCGCGAAUGAAGAUCAGAAUUUUGUUAAAAACAUAUAUAAUUUCACUGAAAAUAUGAUUGAUUUAGUAAAAAAAAAGUCAAUGAAAAUUUAAUUACUAUGGCAAAUGUAUAAGUUGUGAGUCAUAAAGAUUAUCUGAACUAUUAAUAAUUACUUAGAUUUGGGACAACCAACUUGAGAUUAUAUUGCUCAAAAAAAAAAAAAAGCUUAGAGAUUUUAUGAACUAUUAAUAAUUGUUUCUAGAAUUUAUUUAGGUAUAUAGUACUACCCUCAUAA